This 466-nucleotide ribosomal RNA is filed under the name uncultured bacterium. Its description in RNAcentral is "bacterial SSU rRNA". It matches the Rfam family "Bacterial small subunit ribosomal RNA", at positions 338 to 795 of the family's 1533-position model. The record is from RNAcentral.
CCUACGGGUUGCAGCAGUGAGGAAUAUUGCGCAAUGGGGGCAACCCUGACGCAGCAACGCCGCGUGAGUGAGGAAGGUUUUCGGAUUGUAAAGCUCUGUCGAGCGGAAAGAAAUGCACGAUGGCUAAUAUCCAUCAUGCUUGACGGUACCGCUAGAGGAAGCACCGGCUAACUCCGUGCCAGCAGCCGCGGUAAUACGGGGGGUGCAAGCGUUGUUCGGAAUCAUUGGGCGUAAAGAGCGUGUAGGCGGCUGGACAAGUCAGAUGUGAAAUCCCUGGGCUUAACCCAGGAAGUGCAUUUGAAACUGUCUAGCUGGAGUAAGGGAGAGGAAAGUGGAAUUCCUGGUGUAGAGGUGAAAUUCGUAGAUAUCAGGAGGAACACCGGUGGCGAAGGCGACUUUCUGGCCCUAUACUGACGCUGAGACGCGAAAGCGUGGGUAGCAAACAGGAUUAGAUACCCCUGUAGUC